CCCUUAGAUGUCCUGGGCCGCACGCGCGCUACACUGAUGCAUUCAACGAGUCCAACCUUGACCGAGAGGUCCGGGUAAUCUUUGAAACUGCAUCGUGAUGGGGCUAGAUUAUUGCAAUUAUUAAUCUUCAACGAGGAAUGCCUAGUAAGCGUGAUUCAUCAAAUCGCGUUGAUUACGUCCCUGCCCUUUGUACACACCGCCCGUCGCUCCUACCGAUUGAGUGUGUUGGUGAGGAGUUUGGAUUGGCCUCGGAAGGUGGUUCGCCACCGUCCGUAGCUGAGAAGUUCUCCAAACCGCCCCACUUAGAGGAAGGAGAAGUCGUAACA
RNAcentral lists this ribosomal RNA (326 nucleotides) under uncultured eukaryote. RNAcentral describes it as "partial 18S ribosomal RNA". It matches the Rfam family "Eukaryotic small subunit ribosomal RNA", at positions 1470 to 1796 of the family's 1831-position model. The record is from RNAcentral.